Molecule: unclassified non-coding RNA, 200 nt
Filed under: fungal sp.
Lineage: Eukaryota; Fungi
Description: partial internal transcribed spacer 2
Source: RNAcentral
UUAAGUUCAGCGGGUAUCCCUACCUGAUCCGAGGUCAAUCAUUGAAAAAAGUAAAGGUUCUUGGCAGAUCGCGGUGCGAAGGCUUCCAAAGCGGGAUAAGUUUUACUACGCUUGAAGUCACACCGGACCGCCACUCGUUUUCGGGCACGUCCGCGAGGACGAGGGCCCAACACCAAGCUACGCUUGAGGGGUGCAAUGAC